Molecule: transfer RNA, 69 nt
Filed under: Marmota monax (woodchuck)
Lineage: Eukaryota; Metazoa; Chordata; Mammalia; Rodentia; Sciuridae
Description: tRNA.Ala
Source: RNAcentral
GGUGUUCUGGCUCAGUGGUAGAGUGCUCACCUAGCACGUGCAAGGCGCUGAGUUUGAUUCUCAACACCA